Molecule: ribosomal RNA, 376 nt
Filed under: uncultured soil bacterium
Lineage: Bacteria
Description: bacterial SSU rRNA
Rfam family: Bacterial small subunit ribosomal RNA
Source: RNAcentral
AGGACGAACGCUGGCGGCGUGCUUAACACAUGCAAGUCGAGCGGUAAGGCCCUUUCGGGGGUACACGAGCGGCGAACGGGUGAGUAACACGUGAGCAAUCUGCCCUUCACUUCGGGAUAAGCCUCGGAAACGGGGUCUAAUACCGGAUAUGACUGCGCCAUGCAUGUGGUGUGGUGGAAAGUUCUGGCGGUGAGGGAUGAGCUCGCGGCCUAUCAGCUUGGUUGGUGGGGUAAUGGACCUACCAAGGCUUACGGACGGGUAGCCGGCCUGACGAGGGUGACCCGGCCACGCGUGGACGUGACGACACGGCCAGACUCCGUACGGGAGGACAGCGUAGGUGGGUAAUAGUUAGGGAACAGGUAGGAGAAACGGACCU